GACGAACGCUGGCGGCGUGCCUAACACAUGCAAGUCGAACGGAGUGAUGAUUUCGGUUAUCACUUAGUGGCGAACGGGUGAGUAACGCGUGAGAAACCUGCCUUUCAGUGGGGGACAACAGUUGGAAACGACUGCUAAUACCGCAUAAUGUCAUUUGGGGGCAUCCCUGGAUGACCAAAGAUUUAUUGCUGAAAGAUGGUCUCGCGUCUGAUUAGCUGGUUGGUGGGGUAACGGCUCACCAAGGCGACGAUCAGUAGCCGACCUGAGAGGGUGACCGGCCACAUUGGGACUGAGACACGGCCCAA
Molecule: ribosomal RNA, 305 nt
Filed under: uncultured bacterium
Lineage: Bacteria
Description: bacterial SSU rRNA
Rfam family: Bacterial small subunit ribosomal RNA
Source: RNAcentral